Molecule: long non-coding RNA, 577 nt
Filed under: Olea europaea (common olive)
Lineage: Eukaryota; Viridiplantae; Streptophyta; Magnoliopsida; Lamiales; Oleaceae
Description: long non-coding RNA (OEUR_LNC008333)
Source: RNAcentral
UUGCGCUCCAAAUCUUCUUGUAAGCCUCUCUCAUCCUCAAUCUUCUCUGCCCUUACCUUUAUGGAAUCAACUUCUUCAAUUAGUUUUGCCAUUUCAUGGAAUGAAGUUGUAAAGAUGUCACCAUUAUCACUUGCAUAUUCUUCAAGAACUCGAUCUUCAAUAAUAUCUUCAGUUUGACGUGCUGUAUCGAUGAUCUUCCUUUCCAAACCUUCGAUUGAUUCGAUAUUUUCUCGUUGAAAAUUGUCAAGAAAAUCUUGCAAAUAAACAACUUUUUCGAGGAGGGAAUCGAUUUGCUUUUUCUCACCGGGAAGAACAUAUGAACAAUCAUAUUUCAGGGUGCGCUGUAGAACGUGAGUAAGAGAAAGAAGAUGAGCAUAAGCCAUUUCUGUUCUCUUCUGUCACAGCUGAAAGAUAGAAAAUUGAAGCAAUCAGGAUCUCCUAUGCAAUUAUAUACUGUUUAAGAAUGUUGAUAGCAAAUUCCAUUUUCUUAAUUGAACAAGACUUUGUGAAGAAAAAUUUAUGUUAAAUUGCUAAAAAAAAAAAAAAAAUGUUGAUUGAAUGGAUGCAGACUUCCCAC